RNAcentral lists this ribosomal RNA (3001 nucleotides) under Alicyclobacillus sacchari. RNAcentral describes it as "partial 23S ribosomal RNA". It matches the Rfam family "Bacterial large subunit ribosomal RNA". The record is from RNAcentral. Lineage: Bacteria; Bacillati; Bacillota; Bacilli; Caryophanales; Alicyclobacillaceae.
GACGGUGAAGUUAGGAAGAGCGCACGGAGGAUGCCUAGGCGCCAAGAGCCGAAGAAGGACGGGGCGAACACCGAAAUGCCACGGGGAGCUGUACGCGAGCAUGGAGCCGUGGAUGUCCGAAUGGGGGAACCCACUAGCGGGAAGCGCUAGUACCGUAUGCUGAACACAUAGGCAUAAGGGGGCAACCGAGGGAACUGAAACAUCUAAGUACCUCGAGGAAGAGAAAGCGAACGCGAUUCCGUAAGUAGUGGCGAGCGAAAGCGGAGGAGCCCAAACCGUAUGCGUGGUACAGACUGCAGUCGAUGCGUAUACGGGGUAGCGGGGCUGUUAGGGCGAGCUGCAGGUAGCCAGCGCGAGGCUGUGUUUAGGAGAACGGCAUGGGAAGGCCGGCCAGAGACGGUGAAAGCCCGGUAUUCGAAAGGCACAGAAGAGCGUGAAACAGACCCCAAGUACUGCGGGACACGAGGAAUCCCGUGGGAAUCCGGGAGGACCACCUCCUAAGGCUAAAUACUCCUUGGCGACCGAUAGCGGAUAGUACCGUGAGGGAAAGGUGAAAAGAACCGCGGGAGCGGAGUGAAAGAGAACCUGAAACCGUGUGCUUACAAGCAGUCGGAGCACAGAGAUGUGUGACGGCGUGCCUUUUGUAGAAUGAACCGGCGAGUGAUGAUGACAAGCGAGGUUAAGGCGAAGGAGCCGAAGCCGAAGCGAAAGCGAGUCUGAAGAGGGCGAGAUAGUUUGUUGUCAUCGACCCGAAACCGGGUGAUCUACCCCUGGUCAGGGUGAAGUGCGGGUAACACCGCAUGGAGGCCCGAACCCACUGGCGUUGAAAAGCCAGGGGAUGAACUGGGGGUAGGGGAGAAAUUCCAAUCGAACCCGGAGAUAGCUGGUUCUCCCCGAAAUAGCUUGAGGGCUAGCGUCAGGGGAUGAGUUGUGGAGGUAGAGCACUGAUUGGGUGCGGGGCCCGCGAGGGUUACCAAGCUCAGUCAAACUGCGAAUGCCACAAUGUCGAAGAACCUGGCAGUCAGACUACGAGUGAUAAGACCCGUGGUCAAGAGGGAAACAGCCCAGACCAACAGCUAAGGUCCCAAAGUACCGGUUCAGUGGGGAACGAUGUGGCGUUGCACAGACAACCAGGAUGUUGGCUUAGAAGCAGCCACCAUUGAAAGAGUGCGUAAUAGCUCACUGGUCGAGUGGCGCUGCGCGGAAAAUGUAACGGGGCUAAACCGGACACCGAAGCUCUGGAUGGAGACAUGGUAGGGGAGCGUUCCACUGGCGGAGAAGCAGAGCCGGGAGGCGAUGUGGAGCGAGUGGAAGUGAGAAUGCCGGUAUGAGUAGCGAAAAGAGGGGUGAGAAUCCCCUCCGCCGAAAGCCCAAGGGUUCCUGGGGAAGGCUCGUCCGCCCAGGGUAAGUCGGGACCUAAGGCGAGGCCGAGAGGCGUAGUCGAAGGAGAACAGGUUGAAAUUCCUGUACCACCGAGAGCGAUUGAGCGAAGGGGUGACGCAGGAGGAUGAGGGAAGCGGCCGGAUGGAAGAGGCCGUCCAAGCAGCGAGCGAGGGAUGUAGUCAAAUGCGCAUCCUGGGAAUCGUGAGCUGUGAAGGGGAGGGAAGAACAGUACCGAAGUCCCAGAGUUCACACUGCCGAGAAAAGCCUCUAGCGAUGCAGCAGGUGCCCGUACCGGAAACCGACACAGGUGGGCGCGUGGAGAACACGAAGGCGCGCGGGAGAACUCUCGUUAAGGAACUCGGCAAAAUGGCCCCGUAACUUCGGGAGAAGGGGCGCUCUGAGAAGAGCCGCAGUGAAAAGGCCCAAGCGACUGUUUAGCAAAAACACAGGUCUCUGCGAAGCCGAAAGGCGAAGUAUAGGGGCUGACGCCUGCCCGGUGCUGGAAGGUUAAGAGGAGGGCUUAGGGGGAACCCGAAGGCUCGAAUUGAAGCCCCAGUAAACGGCGGCCGUAACUAUAACGGUCCUAAGGUAGCGAAAUUCCUUGUCAGGUAAGUUCUGACCCGCACGAAAGGCGUAACGACUUGGGCGCUGUCUCAACGAGAGACCCGGUGAAAUUGUAAUACCUGUGAAGAUGCAGGUUACCCGCGGUUAGACGGAAAGACCCCGUGGAGCUUGACUGUAGCUUGAUAUGGGAUACGGGUACGUCAUGUACAGGAUAGGUGGGAGACGGAGAAGCUUGGGCGCCAGCCUGAGUGGAGUCGGCGUUGGGAUACCACCCUUGAGGUACUAGUAUUCUAACCUAUCACCCUGAAGCGGGUGAAGGGACAGUGUCAGGCGGACAGUUUGACUGGGGCGGUCGCCUCCCAAAAGGUAACGGAGGCGCCCAAAGGUUCCCUCAGCGCGGAUGGAAAUCGCGCGGUGCGUGUAAAGGCAAAAGGGAGCUUGACUGCGAGACGGACAGGUCGAGCAGGGACGAAAGUCGGGCUUAGUGACCCGGUGGCACCGAGUGGAAGGGCCAUCGCUCAACGGAUAAAAGCUACCCCGGGGAUAACAGGCUGAUCUCCCCCAAGAGUUCACAUCGACGGGGAGGUUUGGCACCUCGAUGUCGGCUCAUCGCAUCCUGGGGCUGAAGUCGGUCCCAAGGGUUGGGCUGUUCGCCCAUUAAAGCGGUACGCGAGCUGGGUUCAGAACGUCGUGAGACAGUUCGGUCCCUAUCUGCCGCGGGCGCAGGAUACGUGAGAGGGUUCGUCCUUAGUACGAGAGGACCGGGAUGAACCGACCGCUGGUGUACCAGUUGUUCCGCCAGGAGCACCGCUGGGUAGCCAAGUCGGGAAGGGAUAAGCGCUGAAAGCAUCUAAGCGCGAAGCCCGCCUCAAGAUAACGUAUCCCAUCUGGACAACAGAGUAAGACCCCUUGAAGAAGACAAGGUAGAUCGGUCUGGCGUGGAAGCGUAGUGAUACGUGGAGCGGACAGAUACGAAUCGGUCGAGGGCUUCACCCGCAAGCAAGGUCAUUUCAUAGCAGUCACAAGGUACAUAAGGAAUGGAAGCGGAGUUUGG